RNAcentral lists this ribosomal RNA (253 nucleotides) under uncultured bacterium. RNAcentral describes it as "partial 16S ribosomal RNA". It matches the Rfam family "Bacterial small subunit ribosomal RNA", at positions 524 to 776 of the family's 1533-position model. The record is from RNAcentral.
UACGGAGGGUGCAAGCGUUAAUCGGAAUUACUGGGCGUAAAGCGCACGCAGGUGGCUGAGUCAGUCGAUUGUGAAAGCCCUGGGCUUAACCUGGGAAUUGCAGUCGAUACUACUCAGCUAGAGUAUGGGAGAGGGUAGUGGAAUUCCCGGUGUAGCGGUGAAAUGCGUAGAUAUCAGGAGGAACACCCGUGGUGUAGACGGCUUGCUGGACAGUCACUGACGCUGAGGCACGAAAGCGUGGGGAGCAAACAGG